GAUGAACGCUGGCGGCGUGCCUAAUACAUGCAAGUCGAGCGAACAGACGAGGAGCUUGCUCCUCUGACGUUAGCGGCGGACGGGUGAGUAACACGUGGAUAACCUACCUAUAAGACUGGGAUAACUUCGGGAAACCGGAGCUAAUACCGGAUAAUAUAUUGAACCGCAUGGUUCAAUAGUGAAAGACGGUUUUGCUGUCACUUAUAGAUGGAUCCGCGCCGCAUUAGCUAGUUGGUAAGGUAACGGCUUACCAAGGCGACGAUGCGUAGCCGACCUGAGAGGGUGAUCGGCCACACUGGAACUGAGACACGGUCCAGACUCCUACGGGAGGCAGCAGUAGGGAAUCUUCCGCAAUGGGCGAGAGCCUGACGGAGCAACGCCGCGUGAGUGAUGAAGGUCUUCGGAUCGUAAAACUCUGUUAUUAGGGAAGAACAAAUGUGUAAUUAACUAUGCACGUCUUGACGGUACCUAAUCAGAAAGCCACGGCUAACUACGUG
RNAcentral lists this ribosomal RNA (497 nucleotides) under uncultured bacterium. RNAcentral describes it as "partial 16S ribosomal RNA". It matches the Rfam family "Bacterial small subunit ribosomal RNA", at positions 28 to 507 of the family's 1533-position model. The record is from RNAcentral.